This 28-nucleotide non-coding RNA is filed under the name Homo sapiens (human). The record is from RNAcentral. Lineage: Eukaryota; Metazoa; Chordata; Mammalia; Primates; Hominidae.
UUCAUCUUGGAGCAUGUGCACUGAAGAC